This 79-nucleotide transfer RNA is filed under the name Bacilli bacterium. RNAcentral describes it as "tRNA-Ile". It matches the Rfam family "tRNA". From Rfam's summary of the family: Transfer RNA (tRNA) molecules are approximately 80 nucleotides in length. Their secondary structure includes four short double-helical elements and three loops (D, anti-codon, and T loops). The record is from RNAcentral. RNAcentral also lists the same sequence under 4 other names. Lineage: Bacteria; Bacillati; Bacillota; Bacilli.
GGGCCUAUAGCUCAGCUGUGGUUAGAGCGUACGCCUGAUAAGCGUAAGGUCACUGGUUCAACUCCAGUUAGGCCCACCA